CAACCGCUGACGAUGGUCGUGAAUGUUG
Flavobacteriaceae bacterium TMED81 is the source of this 28-nucleotide non-coding RNA. The record is from Rfam. NCBI's taxonomy places the organism in Bacteria, Pseudomonadati, Bacteroidota, Flavobacteriia, Flavobacteriales, Flavobacteriaceae.